CCCGCGGGAGACGCCGGCGGGCCGGUCGGAGUUGGAGCCGAUGGCGAGGAGGAUGGAGGCGAGCGUAAGAAGAACGACGCAGUUGAGAUUCGAGAAGGUUAGCGGCCGGCGAAGGAGAAGAGAGGUGAGCACAAGAAUGAAGGCAAGCUGGGACGAGAGAAUAAGAGAAUUGGUGGACACCGGAAGGUAAGCUUGGCCGCAAGAGAUGAGGAGAUUGUUGAUGCCCAGGAGGAGGCCAAGAAACACGCAUAGAGCGAAAAGGCGAGGAGUGAAGCGAGAGAAGGGGGGAGAAGACGAGGGAGCGAGAU
This 308-nucleotide long non-coding RNA is filed under the name Elaeis guineensis (African oil palm). RNAcentral's name for it is "long non-coding RNA (EGUI_LNC000632)". Lineage: Eukaryota; Viridiplantae; Streptophyta; Magnoliopsida; Arecales; Arecaceae. The record is from RNAcentral.